Molecule: ribosomal RNA, 480 nt
Filed under: Lactococcus lactis
Lineage: Bacteria; Bacillati; Bacillota; Bacilli; Lactobacillales; Streptococcaceae
Description: bacterial SSU rRNA
Rfam family: Bacterial small subunit ribosomal RNA
Source: RNAcentral
CCGAGCAACGCCGCGUGAGUGAAGAAGGUUUUCGGAUCGUAAAACUCUGUUGGUAGAGAAGAACGUUGGUGAGAGUGGAAAGCUCAUCAAGUGACGGUAACUACCCAGAAAGGGACGGCUAACUACGUGCCAGCAGCCGCGGUAAUACGUAGGUCCCGAGCGUUGUCCGGAUUUAUUGGGCGUAAAGCGAGCGCAGGUGGUUUAUUAAGUCUGGUGUAAAAGGCAGUGGCUCAACCAUUGUAUGCAUUGGAAACUGGUAGACUUGAGUGCAGGAGAGGAGAGUGGAAUUCCAUGUGUAGCGGUGAAAUGCGUAGAUAUAUGGAGGAACACCGGUGGCGAAAGCGGCUCUCUGGCCUGUAACUGACACUGAGGCUCGAAAGCGUGGGGAGCAAACAGGAUUAGAUACCCUGGUAGUCCACGCCGUAAACGAUGAGUGCUAGAUGUAGGGAGCUAUAAGUUCUCUGUAUCGCAGCUAACGCA